Molecule: non-coding RNA, 1502 nt
Organism: Peromyscus maniculatus bairdii (prairie deer mouse)
Lineage: Eukaryota; Metazoa; Chordata; Mammalia; Rodentia; Cricetidae
Source: RefSeq, a predicted model, not a curated record
CACCAUGGGAAAGGCCUUGGCAGUUGGGAUUCAGAUAUUGACAGUUGUAACUGGUGGCCUAGGCUUGGGGUCCUACACGAUGAGCCAAGUUCCUGAGAAAAGAGGCAAGCAAAGAUCUUCUAUAGGUUUCCAUAAUUGUCACCAGAGGCCCUGACUUCCCCCUGUUCUGUUCCUGCGUGCCCCCAAGAUGGCUGCCCGAGAGGUCCUCACUGAGCCCAUGCAGCCAGCAGCUGCCCACUGAAACCUGAAGCCAAAAGGUAGGAAGAGGGAGAAAAUGCAAUGUUUUCCAGUGAAGAGAAUGAGACAGCAGAGAGAGAGAGAGCGCUUCCCACUUGGCAUCAUUUUGUGAAAUUUUUUGAGUUUUGGAUCAUAUUAAUUCAGCCAGCCUUCUAGAGAAUGCUCAUCAACACUGUGUCCUGCUGACUGCCGUAGCCAGAGUUUAAGGUGAAAGUCCUUCUGGAUCCCUUGGAAGAAGAGGAGGCCAGCUGCAUUCCUCUGUGAGACUCAGGCUAUGCUGAGUGAGAAGUCAAGCUUUGAUGAUUGUCCCUCCUCUGUGGACUCACAGGCACGUGAGUCAGCUACACACUUCUGAGGACGCGUGUCUGAGAGAAACCGUCACAUACUCAUCACUUGAAGUGACAAGGCUGGCCCAGCCUGGGAUUUUGCUUUUGCUGGCUGGCUGUUUCUACAGCAGGAACACCUGUAAAAAUGUCUUAGCUGCAGAGCUGCUAGAGACCAGUACCAUUUCGAUCUCUCCUGGGUAUCAGGUGUGGAUAUGGGCACCGUGAGGAAAAGGUUGAGAUUUCUGCCUUCCCUCUUCUGUUUAUCCUCAGUGUCUCUCCCAAAUGACAGCAGCAGUUUCUGAGCACCAGCGUAAGCUCAAGGGCCAAGCAUCCCAUUUUACAGAUGGGCCAACUGAAGUACCAAUGUGAUAUUCCUCGUGUACUGGGGAUCAUGGAGCACAAGGCUUCAAUGGUUAUGACCUGAGUGUUUUAUAUAACACGUGGGUUAUUAUUCCCCAAGGGAUAGCCUGUACUUUAUAUAACAUUUGGAUUGUUAUCCCCCAAGGGAUAGCCUGUGCUUUAUAUAACAUUUGGAUUGUUAUCCCCCAAGGGAUAGCCUGUGCUUUAUAUAACAUUUGGAUUGUUAUCCCCCAAGGGAUAGCCUGUGCUUUAUAUAACAUUUGGAUUGUUAUCCCCCAAGGGAUAGCCUCUGCCUUGGUGUAGUCCCUUGCUGUGUGCGGUGACCUACACUCCUCCCCAACCCACCCCCCAUGGCUCUGUACAUUCCCAGGAACCACAUGGCUGUGUCAGUUUCUGUCCACCUUGAACCCUCUUGGGCAUGGACUUCACAGUCCAGAUGCCAGGUGCCAGUGUUCCCUGUAGAACGGGGUUGGCACUUUGCUAUCCUUGUCACUUCGGUUUCUCACUUGGCAGCAUGCCGCCUUCUGACUUGUCCCCAGGCCCCAGAUCCCCUUUGAUUUUCAGACAUUUCACAAAUGC